AUUGAACGCUGGCGGCCGGCCUAACACAUGCAAGUCGAACGAGUGGCGGACGGGUGAGUCAUGUCUGGGAAACUGCCUGAUGGAGGGGGAUAACUACUGGAAACGGUAGCUAAUACCGCAUACCAUCAGAUGUGCCCAGAUGGGAUUAGAUAGUGGGUGGGGUAACGGCGCACCACGGCGACGAUCCCUAGCUGGUCUGAGAGGAUGACCAGCCACACUGGAACUGAGACACGUGCCAGACUCCUACGGGAGGCAGCAGGGGGGAAUAUUGGACAAUGGGCGAAAGCCUGAUGCAGCCAUGCCGCGUGUAUGAAGAAGGCCUUCGGGUUGUAAAGUACUUGCAGCGGGGAGGCGUUACCCGCAGAAGAAGCACCGGCUAACUCCGUGCCAGCAGCCGCGGUAAUUC
Molecule: ribosomal RNA, 406 nt
Filed under: uncultured bacterium
Lineage: Bacteria
Description: partial 16S ribosomal RNA
Rfam family: Bacterial small subunit ribosomal RNA
Source: RNAcentral